CCGCACGCCGCUACACUGAUACGCUCAACGAGUAUAUAACCUUGAUCCAUAGGUCUGGGUAAUCUUUGUGAAUACGUAUCGUGCUAGGGAUAGAUUAUUGCAAUUAUUAAUCUUGAACGAGGAAUUCCUAGUAAACGCAAGUCAUCAGCUUGCAUUGAUUACGU
Molecule: ribosomal RNA, 164 nt
Filed under: uncultured eukaryote
Lineage: Eukaryota
Description: partial 18S ribosomal RNA
Rfam family: Eukaryotic small subunit ribosomal RNA
Source: RNAcentral